This 248-nucleotide ribosomal RNA is filed under the name uncultured bacterium. RNAcentral's name for it is "partial 16S ribosomal RNA". It matches the Rfam family "Bacterial small subunit ribosomal RNA", at positions 84 to 334 of the family's 1533-position model. The record is from RNAcentral.
UUUGAUGGCGACCGGCGCACGGGUGAGUAACACGUAUCCAACCUGCCGAUGACUCGGGGAUAGCCUUUCGAAAGAAAGAUUAAUACCCGAUGGCAUAGUUCUUCCGCAUGGUAGAACUAUUAAAGAAUUUCGGUCAUCGAUGGGGAUGCGUUCCAUUAGGUUGUUGGCGGGGUAACGGCCCACAAGCCUUCGAUGGAUAGGGGUUCUGAGAGGAAGGUCCCCCACAUUGGAACUGAGACACGGUCCAA